RNAcentral lists this small nucleolar RNA (108 nucleotides) under Tupaia belangeri chinensis (Chinese tree shrew). RNAcentral's name for it is "Tupaia chinensis (Chinese tree shrew) Small nucleolar RNA U13". It matches the Rfam family "Small nucleolar RNA U13". Lineage: Eukaryota; Metazoa; Chordata; Mammalia; Scandentia; Tupaiidae. The record is from Rfam by way of RNAcentral.
AUAGUUUUAAAAUGUAUUGGUAUUAGAAGCAUUAAUGUUUUCACACCAUUAUGUGAGAUGUGCCUCCCUUAAACCUUGUUAUGACAUUGGCACUGCACCUGUCUAAUG